Molecule: RNA transcript, 2955 nt
Organism: Aegilops tauschii subsp. strangulata
Lineage: Eukaryota; Viridiplantae; Streptophyta; Magnoliopsida; Poales; Poaceae
Gene name: cytochrome P450 98A1
Source: RefSeq, a predicted model, not a curated record
CGGGCAUGCUGACCAGGAAAGUUCACAGUCCACCGGAGCUCCCGUACCUACCACCACUCCCACUCCGGGCGAGAAGAGAACAGUGAGCCAUGGACACGGCCACCUUGCUCCCGGUGGCGCUGGCCCUCCUGGCCAUCCCCGUCACGGCGCUCGUCCUCAACCGGCUCCGCUUCGGCAGGCUGCCGCCGGGGCCGCGCCCGUGGCCGGUGCUGGGCAACCUCUUCCAAAUCCAGCCCGUGCGCUGCCGGUGCUUCGCCGAGUGGGCGGCCCGGUACGGGCCCAUCAUCACGGUCUGGUUCGGCUCGACGCCGAUGGUGGUGGUGUCCACGCCGGAGCUGGCGCAGGAGGUGCUCAGGACCCACGACCAGCACCUGGCCGACCGCUCGCGGAACCGCUCCUCGGAGCGCUUCAGCCGCGGCGGCAUGGACCUCAUCUGGGCCGACUACGGCCCGCACUACAUCAAGGUGCGCAAGCUCUGCAACCUCGAGCUCUUCACGCCGCGCCGCCUCGAGGCGCUCCGCCCCGUCCGCGAGGACGAGGUCACCGCCAUGGUCGAGUCCGUGCACCGGGCCGGCAAGGAAGGGAAGCCGGUGGCCGUGCGGGAGUUCCUCGCCAUGGUGGGCUUCAACAACAUCACGCGCCUCGCCUUCGGGAAGCGGUUCCUGACCGCGGCGGGCGAGCUGGACGAGCAGGGACGCGAGUUCAAGGAGAUCGUCAACAACGGGAUCAAGAUCGGCGCGUCGCUGUCCAUCGCCGAGCACAUCCGGUGGCUCCGCUGGCUGACGCCCGUCGACGAGGUGGCCUAUCAGGCCCACGGCGACCGGCGCGACCGGCUCACUGUCAAGAUCAUGGAGGAGCACGCCAGGGCCCUCCAGCGGAGCGGCGCCAGCAAGCAGCAUUUCGUCGACGCGCUCUUCACGCUCCGGGACAAGUACGACCUCAGUGACGACACCGUCAUUGGCCUCCUCUGGGACAUGAUCACCGCCGGCACAGACACGACGGUGAUAACCGUGGAGUGGGCGGUAGCGGAGCUGGUGAGGAACCCGGUGGUGCAGCAGAAGGUGCAGGAGGAGCUCGACCGGGUGGUCGGCUGCGACCGGGUGCUGUCGGAGACGGACUUCCCAAACCUGCCCUACCUGCAGGCCGUCGUGAAGGAGUCGCUCCGGCUGCACCCGGCGACGCCGCUGAUGCUCCCGCACAGGGCCAGCGCCGCCGUGAAUGUCGCCGGCUACAACAUCCCCAAGGGAGCCAGCGUCACGGUGAACGUGUGGGCGAUCGCGCGCGACCCCAAGGCGUGGGACAGCCCGCUCGAGUUCCGGCCCGAGCGCUUCCUCCACGACAACAUCGACAUCAAGGGCUGCGACUACCGCGUGCUGCCGUUCGGCGCCGGCCGCCGGGUGUGCCCCGGCGCGCAGCUCGGGAUCAACCUCGUGGCGUCCAUGAUCGGCCACCUCCUGCACCACUUCACCUGGGCGCUGCCGGACGGGACCCGGACGGAGGACCUCGACAUGAUGGAGUCCCCCGGGCUCAUCACCUUCAUGCGCACGCCGCUGCAGGUCGUCGCCACGCCGCGCCUCGAAAAGGAAGAGCUGUACAAGCGGGUGGCCGCCGAGAUGUGAGCGACCUGCGCCCUCCCAUGCGUCCCGGACUCCCGGUGGUUCAGAGCUCAGGCUUCAAAUCAAGAUUACAAUCACGGAGAUACAAGUUCGUCCUCGGGACCAGAGCAUAGCCAAACAACACUACUAUUGCUGCGACUAGCGUAAGAGCAUCUCCAACAGGCAGGCUAGAUACAACGCGCGCGAGAAAAAAAGUUUUUAGCGCGCGCGGGCCGGUUUGGCGCCCUUCAGCAGGCGCAGAAAAAACUGCACGCGCGAAAAAGCGGCAACGUGCGUGGCGUCGGGUGCGCUCUAUAAAACCCUCGUGUGCGAGCCCGCCAUCCUCCGUCUCUCUCUCCUUUCUUCUCCUCGCUUCUGGUGCCCCGCCGCCGCUGCGACCUUGUUCCUCGCCUCCAGCGCCUCCCGCCGCCGCUGCGACCUUGUUCCUCGCCUCCAGCGCCCCCCCGCCUCCAGUGCCUUCUUCCCCGCCGCCGACAAGCCGCCGCGCGCCCGGAGCAGCUCCGGCUACCACGACGUCCGCACCCACCCCGCCAGCAUGUAUUACGCGGAGAUCCGCUCCGGUAAUACACGUCUCGGUCUCGAGACGUUCGAGACCGCCCACAAGGCCGCUCGCGCGUAUGACACGGCGGUGUGGCGCCUCUUGAGGCCACGUUCGCAGAUGAAUUUCUCGGACGCGCAGACGAGCCAACAGGCGCAGGACCUCGUGCCUCCGCCGCGACUAAUCACCGACGAGGACCGCUGCAUCUAGCGGAGGCGAGAGUGCCGCCUCCUCAUCGCCGAGGCGGACGAGCACGCCAUGGCGGAGUGGCGCGAGCGCUUCCCGGAGAAUGUUGCCGCAGAGGAGGGCGCAGCGAGCCGCGGAUCGGGCGGACAGGCGUGCGCGGAAGGCGCUGGCGAUAGCGCAAUGCGAACUGGGAUCUGCGUCGACCUUUGACGACAAUGAUCCUUGGUGGGAAGACCGUUUCUGUUGUCGGACUACACCACCGAGGAGGACAACAACAAGGAGUAGUUAUCUAGUAUAUUUGCAUCACAGUAUCGUUUUUAUCUGUCUUUAUUUGUAUCGUAUGGACUAUAUUCGUGGUGAUGGGUUUGAACUAUGCUAUUUGAACUUUAUCUAUAUGUUGUUUCAUAUUGUUCGUAUGUGUUGCACCAUAGUACCGGUUGCUCGCGCGUGCGGGAUUUUGCAGCGCCUGUGAUACGUCUCCAAUGUAUCUAUAAUUUAUAAAGUAUUCAUGCCAUGUUUACAAUAAUUUUAUAUGGUUUUGGUAUGAUUUGCAUGGAACUAACCCAGACUGACGCUGUUUUCAGCAGAACUACGGUGGUGUUGUUCUUUGUGCAG